GCAUUAUCGUAUCAUUAUACGGAGGAGAGUCGAUACGAAACGAAAUAUCGUAUUUUGCGAAUAAUCGCAUAACACGUGGAGUUGAUUGUAACCAAGAUAUUUCAAUCGAUAAUUAAAGUCAAAAAAAAACACCCGGUAUGCAAAAAAUAACACACACGUGCAACCAUUCGUAAUGGUGUACACUCAGAAAUGGGAUGGUACCGCUUUGUUCCUCGCGCUGACCUUCGUUCUAUUAAAGUAUAAAUUGCUUUAAAGCACAGCGUGGAUCAAAAUGGGCUGCUUUUUGGAGAAAGAAGACACCGAGGCGAGAGAAAAAAACCAAAGAGAGGGUGGCGGAGAGAGGGAGAGAGAGAGAGAGAGAAUGGUAUCCCGAGCUCCACGAGAAAUUGUCGUUUUACGACGUUUCCAUAAAUAUCAAGGAGGAUCGUGGAGAAUAAACACAUCCACUCGACGGCGUGACACCAUUUAUUACCCUCGGUACAGGCAAAGCCCAAACGACUUUCAUCCCGCUUUCGAAGCUUUCUCCGAAGCACCCCGGUGUGCCGAAAAAGUGUCUCCAUGUUGCUUUUUUCCUGUUCUAUACACGACCCGAUUUUUACGUAACUGGCGCCAUUCUUCGUCAAUCGCCGGCCUUCGACC
Long non-coding RNA from Apis dorsata (giant honeybee), 639 nucleotides. RefSeq lists it as uncharacterized. The transcript has 3 exons. The record is from RefSeq and is a predicted model, not a curated record. Lineage: Eukaryota; Metazoa; Arthropoda; Insecta; Hymenoptera; Apidae.